Molecule: long non-coding RNA, 401 nt
Organism: Lagopus muta (rock ptarmigan)
Lineage: Eukaryota; Metazoa; Chordata; Aves; Galliformes; Phasianidae
Exons: 3
Source: RefSeq, a predicted model, not a curated record
CUGGCUACCAGUGGGGAAGGAUCUUGUCUGGAGAUCUUUCCUUCUGGUGUUUUGUGGGUGAGCCCAGCAUAAGGAAAGAAAGUGCUGAAACAGCUGUCUAUCUUUCUUCAAUCUACAUUGUUUCUCAGUAACACCUGGAUUCACCUCAUUCAUUUUGGUCAUUUAACUGGAACACUAAAUGCACAGUACAGGACCAGGUAGUGUAGAGAAUCAUAAUUUCACACCUGAAAAAUACCACACCCAAUCAUUGCCUUCCUCAGCUGAAUAUCACUGAGGCAAAGAAUUGUUCAUCCUGGUUGUGACCCUGGGAGGUCUCAUGACCAACCUUCUGCUGAAAUCAGGAUCAACGCUAAAGUCAUAUCAAGUUGAUCAAUUUAAACUAUUUCAUCAUGGGAUCAGAA